Long non-coding RNA from Hemicordylus capensis (graceful crag lizard), 792 nucleotides. RefSeq lists it as uncharacterized. The transcript is spliced from 2 exons. The record is from RefSeq and is a predicted model, not a curated record. Lineage: Eukaryota; Metazoa; Chordata; Lepidosauria; Squamata; Cordylidae.
AAGAGGGUGUCCUGGAAGUGAAGUGAAGUGAACAGAGACCUGAGACAGAGAGUCUGCUGGAGCAAGUCAGAGCUGGAGGUUGCAACAGAAGGGAGGGAGUCUGGAGGUCUGCUAGAGUGGAUCCAGUGAAUCCAUGCAAAGAAUCAAAAAUUCAGAAAUGAUAAUCAUGAUGGAAUUGCUACAGCAUUUGAUGAACAAGCACAGCACUCUUAGGAUUUGAUGCUGGAAAUGUAGCUGCAGAACAUCUUCAGGUAUUCAGCACAGGGGCACAGUUUUGAAGUCCACCAAGCAUGCUCCUCCUGCAAUAUGGUGGCAACCCUCUGACUCCUCUUGCUUCCCAGUUGCUUCAGAUUUCUCCAUCAUCACGUGACAGGAUGUUUGAAAAUACACGCACCACCAUCAAGGAGCAAACUAACAUAUGAAAGAUAUGAAAGAGUUGAGAAUCUUGUUUCAGUUCAUUCAAACCUUUCAUUUUCUGCAGCUCAGAGUAAAAGUUAAGAAACAUAAGCUACAGAUUGUUCAGUACACUUAUUCUGAUUAAAGAAAUAAACUUACACUAGUAUUUCAAUGAUAUAUUGUUUACGGGGGUGAAGUGAGGUAAAAUAAAACUGAUGAAUAAGGCUUUGGGAUAGUGAAUUCUGUACACAAUUACUAUGACAUUUCCUGUGCAUGAUGAUAAUGUAUUAUAGGAGCUCCGUAUUUUUCUUCCUUAUUCUUGCUUUUUAAAUUACAUUAUAGGGAUUCUAUGUUCUGAGCUUUUACUAAAAAUAAAUAAAUUCCUGUAUGAUAAUG